CCCGCGAUUGGUGAUCCGCUCGUUCCGCUUCCGCAUAAUCCGCUUCAUAGGACCGCACCCUCAGUCUGCGUUCGAAAAUAGCUUUAGCUGGUGUUGGGGAAAAAAGAUUAAGUUGGUAAUAUUGAGAAUUCCCAACGCUGUGUUCGUUUUCUCCUAGCUGGAAGUAGUUGGAGAUCGAUCCAAUAGGUGCAUUUAGUGCAAAUGACAACAAAAUAUCUUUGGUCUGUUCUUUCUAGCUGCACUGUUGCACUGGUGCAAUAAGUUAGAAUGAGAAAAAAUAUACUUGUCUUACUUUAACUUAUUGCACCGGUGCAACAGUGCAGCUAGAAAGAACAGACCACUUAACAAGCGGUAACGUACGCACGUGUUUUAUAUAACUUAUACCUACGAUUGUUGAAAUUUAGCAAAUUCAAGUGUUAUAGGUAAGAUAUUAUAAACACUAUCAAGAGAAAAUAAAUGAACCAGGAAUACACCACACAGCCUCAAUACCUUCCUGCACACGAGCACAUUGUCAAUCUUUGGCUCUCAAUAUCUCGGAAUCUGGCCAUUUUUGGGUCCUGUGCCUGUGGAAUCUUUUGAUCAGAAAACCAUAAAAAUGACAUACAAAUUUUGAACAAAAUUGACUGGGAUCUAUUUGAUUUGUGCGGGUUUUCACUGUUGCUUCCUCUGAGUUUCUCAACAAUUCAUCAAAUUGUUUUUCUAAAAGAGCUAUACGGAGAACCGCAGCGUUCAAACGAGUCGGGUGCUCGUUAAAGGGAGAUAACUUCUUGAACAUGUCUCGAGUCCACCAACCAAUCUAUCGCGAAUUGACGAUCGGCGGACGUAGGGUCUCCUCCUCGAGAAAUAUUGCUACCUUACUUCAGCGAACACCCGAACACACACAUGCUAAGCCCUUAUGCUAAUGGGUUCUCCAUCCUCUCUCCGCCAGGACACUCUCGGAGUUGGAUGUCCUGUCGCGCGACAGCUCAAGGUCGCGUUGUCACCCUCUGCCACUGCCAGAUCAGCGCUGGUGUCACCACCAUAAACGAUGUCAGGUGGCACUGUAAGACAAAUAUAUCAUUAAUAAAUUAA
Molecule: long non-coding RNA, 1071 nt
Filed under: Monomorium pharaonis (pharaoh ant)
Lineage: Eukaryota; Metazoa; Arthropoda; Insecta; Hymenoptera; Formicidae
Description: uncharacterized LOC118645480, transcript variant X4
Source: RNAcentral